Molecule: ribosomal RNA, 226 nt
Filed under: uncultured bacterium
Lineage: Bacteria
Description: partial 16S ribosomal RNA
Rfam family: Bacterial small subunit ribosomal RNA
Source: RNAcentral
GAUCCUGGCUCAGGAUGAACGCUAGCUACAGGCUUAACACAUGCAAGUCGAGGGGCAGCAUGGCGAUAGCUUGCUAUUGUUGAUGGCGACCGGCGCACGGGUGAGUAACGCGUAUCCAACCUGCCCUUGUCCAUCGGAUAACCCGUCGAAAGGCGGCCUAACACGAUAUGCAGUUCUCAGCAGGCAUCUAACGAGAACGAAAUGUAAGGAGAAGGAUGGGAGUGCG